GUGAGUCAUCGAAUCUUUGAACGCACAUUGCGCCCCUUGGUAUUCCAUGGGGCAUGCCUGUUCGAGCGUCAUCUACACCCUCAAGCUCUGCUUGGUGUUGGGCGUCUGUCCCGCCUCUGCGCGUGGACUCGCCCCAAAUUCAUUGGCAGCGGUCCUUGCCUCCUCUCGCGCAGCACAUUGCGCUUCUCGAGGUGCGCGGCCCGCGUCCACGAAGCAACAUUUACCGUCUUUGACCUCGGAUCAGGUAGGGAUACCCGCUGAACUUAAGCAUAUCAAUAAGCGGAGGA
Molecule: unclassified non-coding RNA, 287 nt
Filed under: Camarosporium sp.
Lineage: Eukaryota; Fungi; Ascomycota; Dothideomycetes; Pleosporales
Description: partial contains 5.8S ribosomal RNA, internal transcribed spacer 2, and large subunit ribosomal RNA
Rfam family: 5.8S ribosomal RNA (bases 1-71)
Source: RNAcentral